Molecule: long non-coding RNA, 2722 nt
Filed under: Sus scrofa (pig)
Lineage: Eukaryota; Metazoa; Chordata; Mammalia; Artiodactyla; Suidae
Description: lncRNA (ENSSSCG00000046743.2)
Source: RNAcentral
AUUGGUGCUCGGGAAGAGGAGGCUGGUUCCUCCGGGUGAGCUGGGUGCUAUGACAGAUUAGACUUUUAUGCAAGAAAAUCAGUCCUGCACAUUUGAUGUACUGCUUUAAAACUUAAAGACCUCUUGGGACCUGACAUUGUAAGCAGGAGGAAGUUUGCAGACCAGGGAUUGAACCCGAGACAUAGCAGUGACAAUGUGGAGUCCUUAACUGGUAUCUCUCCUCUACAGGGCUAAGAGGAGUCCCAGGCUUGAUAACACGCUGAACAAAGACCUGUCAUGGAACAGACUCUUGCUGAGAUUUAAACUGGAGAGUUUGUGGAUGUGGAGCUGGGCCAGGAUACACAGAGAAAUGUGGGGGAAGAGGGAAGUCACUGAGAAGAAUCAAGAGAUCUUGGUGCUGCUUUCAUUUGCUGUGUGAUGCUGAUCAAGCAACAUAUUGUCUUUAGGAAUCCUGUUAUAAAAUUUGUCCAACAGAACCUACCUCGCAGAAUUACAGAGAAGAAAAAGAAGAGAGUUCUAUAAACCUGAAGAGCGAUCUUUUCAAAAAAUCAUCAGAAGGAAGGAAUUUGUAGAAAUAAAACUGGAAACAUCCAGAAUCUUGAUGGUGUGCCAAACCAAAUGUCAACUGGAGCUCGACCAAAAACUAAAGUGCUCUCCAACAAACGAAGCAAAGAGAGAGCAGCCCUCUUUUUCUUUAAUCUGCGGGCGAACACUUUUAGAUCCUUGUUCAGAAACUCAAGAUCUCGGCUUCAGUUCAAAUUAUCACCAGCAUUAGGUCUCUGGGAUACAGACAACUGCUGUUCUAUUUCUCGGGGAGAUUCGUAAGGAGACUUUUACCCUGGAUCACCAGGCAAAGUGAGCAGCUGGAACUGCCUCAUAAACAUGUCUUUGGGAGUGUGCUGGACCCACCAGCUGUACCAAAAUCACCAAACAGAAACUUCCGAAAUGUUUGUAGCAUCGAGCAUGGACAACUUUGUCCAUAUCCACUUUUAUAUUUGAUAGUUUAACAGUAUAUAACCAUCAACCACCUGACACCUAAGUGAAAAAUAAGCAUAGCUCUCUUUAAAAAUCAUAUGAAAGUGUCCUAAUUAUAAAUUGUGCCAUAAGUAGAACCCUCUUUGCUUCAUCCCUCUUGUUGAAAUUCAAACCAGAGCUCAAGGAGUUGAUCUUGCAUUUACGUCAGCGGCAAAGACUAUGCUUCACUGUUUGCUCCAGAAAUGACCAAAUGAGGGAUUUACACAAAUAAGCAUCAUGUGAAGGUUUUAAUUAGAAUGUGACAGAUUUAUUUUCUUUUUAUCAUAAGCAAAUCCAACUUGUUAUAGUUAAAGGAUAUUUUCCAUCAUAUGAAAGCUACCAUCAAGAGAGCAAAUAAGAAACAACUGCUGUUAACUCCUGGCAGAAUUGACAAGUACUUUUUUCACAAAUCUCCCAUGAGGAAAUUCUGCUUUGAUGGCUCUGAUCCAGUGUAAAAGUAUCAGAUUGGAUGUGGAGCUUAUCUGCAGGUAUUCAGGUAUCAUGCAGUGGGGGUUCAGUCUACCAGAGACUCAAUUUUUAGCUGCUUAUCUACUCUGCCAGCUAGUGUUUCAUCUUGACAGAAAAAGAAAUGAAUAGGCAAGCAGGCCAGCAGAAACUAGAAAAGAGUCAAAUCAAUUUUCACAUAAAUAUUUAUGGAAAACACUCUGGGAGUAGGAAAUAUCGGUGAAGGAUGUCUGAGAACAAUUUUUCUGCACAUGUAAAUCAGACGAGAAUUUUUGAAGCCUAAUUCAAAUUUCCAUGCAAAUGUAAAACAGUCCAUAAGGUUGGGUUUUUCAAUCACAACUUUCCUCUCUCUCUCUCUCUUUAAAAUCUCGUAUUUCAAAUUAAGUUAUUUUCACAAUUUAAAUUUUUCAUGGUCAUUCCUUCCCGUUGUUUGUAAAAUGUGACGUUAGCUCCCUCAUUUUUGGCUUCUCAUCGUUGCUUCUUGACUGGAGUGUUUAAGAGCUUCUCUCUCUAUGUUUGACCAAAGAUGUAAUAAGAAGGUCAGACAGAAGAAGCUCCUCGAUAUUUAGGGAUGUAAAGUGUAACCUGACGUAGAAAAAGGAUGUACUAUGACCCACUCUCAUUGUUUGCCCUUGUAAGGUGAUUCCUGAGGAUUCUUGUGUGUUAUAAUGGCCUCUGACCCACAUUUUCCUCUGGCUUCAGUCCCUGGAGAGGGAUAAGUAGGGAACCCGACAGCAGUCUCGAGCAGAAAAGCCGAGGCCCAGUGAGGUGGUCCAUAGGCCAGUCGAUGUUGUUACUUAACUACUAGAUUAAGAGAAGAUGACACUCAGUGAUUCUCUCUUUAAAAGAGUUUAAAUUGUCUGCCAGGACCAAUAUAUUUCAGCUUAAUGGUAUAAAAAACAUCAUUUGUAUGGUAGCAGCAGAGUAAAUUCUCUGAGUUGAUGCCUAGCAUACUGUGACCUUUGUGAGAUAAAAAGUCAAAAUAGAAAUGAUUGGUACGUAUGACUUCCCUAAUGGAAUAAAAAUUAAUUCAUUUUGCCAAGGGGAAGAGGGAGGGAGUGGGGUGGAUUGGGAGCUUGGGGUUAAUAGAUGCAAACUAUUGCCUUUGGAAUGGAUUAGCAAUGAGAUCCUGCUGUGUAGCCCUGGAAACUAUAUCUAGUCACUUAUGAUGGAGCAUGAUAAUGUGAGAAAAUAGAAUGUGUACAUGUAUGUGUAACUGCGUCACCAUGCUGUACAGUAGGAA